GAUGAAGAACGUAGCGAAACGCGAUAGGUAAUGUGAAUUGCAGAAUUCCGUGAAUCAUCGAAUCUUUGAACGCACAUUGCGCCCCUUGGUAUUCCAUGGGGCAUGCCUGUUCGAGCGUCAUUUGUACCUUCAAGCUCUGCUUGGUGUUGGGUGUUUGUCUCGCCUCUGCGUGUAGACUCGCCUCAAAAUAAUUGGCAGCCGGCGUAUUGAUUUCGGAGCGCAGUACAUCUCGCGCUUUGCACUCAUAACGACGACGUCCAAAAGUACAUUUUUACACUCUUGACCUCGGAUCAGGUAGGGAUACCCGCUGAACUUAAGCAUAUCAAUAAGCGGAGGA
This 337-nucleotide unclassified non-coding RNA is filed under the name soil metagenome. RNAcentral's name for it is "partial contains 5.8S ribosomal RNA, internal transcribed spacer 2, and large subunit ribosomal RNA". The stretch from base 1 to 120 matches the Rfam family "5.8S ribosomal RNA", at positions 35 to 154 of the family's 154-position model. The record is from RNAcentral.